RNAcentral lists this ribosomal RNA (667 nucleotides) under uncultured bacterium. RNAcentral's name for it is "bacterial SSU rRNA". It matches the Rfam family "Bacterial small subunit ribosomal RNA", at positions 94 to 756 of the family's 1533-position model. The record is from RNAcentral.
AGUGGCGAAAGGGUGUGUAACACGUGGGUAACCUGCCCUUAAGAUGGGGAUACUCCCGAGAAAUUGGGGACAAUACCGAAUACAAUUCCAAGGUAAAGGCUUUGGGAUGAAAGCUGCGAGCAAUCGUGGCGCUUUUGGAGGGACCUGCGUCCUAUCAGCUAGUUGGUGAGGUAACAGCUCACCAAGGCAAAGACGGGUAGCCGGACUGAGAGGUUGAUCGGCCACACUGGAACUGAGACAAGGUCCAGACUCCUACGGGAGGCAGCAGUGAGGAAUUUUGCGCAAUGGGCGAAAGCCUGACGCAGCGACGCCGCGUGAGGGAAGAAGGCCCUCGGGUUGUAAACCUCUUUCGUGAGGGAAAAAGUCCCGAGCAAUCGGGGUGAUGGUACCUCAGGAAGAAGCCACGGCUAACUCUGUGCCAGCAGCCGCGGUAAGACAGAGGUGGCAAGCGUUGUUCGGAUUUACUGGGCUUAAAGGGCGUGUAGGCGUCCUGAUAAGUCAGAUGUGAAAGCCUUAGGCUCAACCUAAGAAUUGCAUUUGAAGCUGUCAGGAUUGAGUCAGGCAAGGGAGGGUGGAAUUCCUGGUGUAGCGGUGAAAUGCGUAGAUAUCAGGAGGAAGGCCGGUGGCGAAGGUGGCCCUCUAGGCCAUGACUGACGCUGAGGCGCGA